This is a long non-coding RNA of Felis catus (domestic cat), 2546 nucleotides long. RefSeq lists it as uncharacterized. The transcript has 3 exons. NCBI's taxonomy places the organism in Eukaryota, Metazoa, Chordata, Mammalia, Carnivora, Felidae. The record is from RefSeq and is a predicted model, not a curated record.
UGCAAUGGUCACAAUAAGACACUUUCAGAUAGUAGUGCUAAUGCUAUAAAGAAAUGAAACAAGGUAAUGGAAUUUUGAGUGGUUGAGUGAAAGGGUGUGGGUGGUCAGCAGAGGUAUACCUGAGCUGGCAUCUGAAUGCUGAGAAGGAAGUGGCUAUAAUAAGAUCUGGGGAAGAACAUUCCAGGGAGAAGGAGCACCACUGGGGCAGCAAUGAACCUGGCGAGCAAGAGGGGGCAGAAGUGAGAUUGCUAGGCUGGGAUCAGAUUGUUGCACCUUCUGGGCCUUGGUCUCCUGACCAUGUGACCAUGGUAAGGCGUGGGCUUUUAAUUCUAAAUUCAUUAGGAAGCCACUGGGAGGGGAGAGGGGUUAAAUGAGAGAGUGGCACAAUCUCCUUCACGUCACUCUGGCUGCUGAUUAGUGUGUAGAAGGGGGUAGGGGGAGGAAAGAAGGCAAGUGUGGAGGCAGGGAGACUCCAGGGCAGGGAGUGUUCGCAGCAGCAAGAGGCAGGAGGCUGGCCUAAGGUAUAGCAGCUGGGGGUGGUGACAGGUUAUCAGAUUUGGAGUAUAUCUUGGAGAUAGAAGAUAGGACUUGUCGAAAGAAAGGACUCAAGGAUAAGUAGCGGAAUAAAUGGUGAUGCUAUUAACUGACAUAGACAAGGAGAAGGUGUGGGUUUGGGCAUGGGAGUGGGAAAUAAGGCAGAAGUCCUGUUUAAAAUAUGCAAUUAGAGGUGCCAAAUAGGAUUCGUGUGUCUGGAGGUCUGGGGAGAAGGUGGAGGUAUUUAGGGAGGUGGAACCAAGGGGGAGGAAGCAAAGUGCUUAGGGCAUGCAAUUUAAGGAGAUAAUCACUCUCCGGGCUAACCCUGCACUUUCAUGAGCCUGAGAGUGAAUGUCUCCUUAAAUUUUAUGACUAGGGGCCUCCACGGCCUCGCCCUGGUAUUUAAAACCGGAGGAAUGGCUAUCACCUGCAGAGAAACUGUAGUUAGAGAAGGGGAGGGCUCUGGGACUCCCCUACAUUUCCCUGCACGGGAGAGAGGAGAAACCAGCCAAGGAGACUGAGAAAGAGAGCUUGUGACUUAGGAACAAAUCCAUGGAUGGGAUGGCAGAGAAGCCAAGGGAAGAAAAUGGUCCAAACAAUGAUGUGAAUCUAUAAGGACAGGACUUUUGCCUGGCUGAAGCUGAGAGCAGACCGUUCAAAUAAAUACCGGGAGGUGUCACUUGAGCGAGAUUGGAUACUGUGUAUCUAGGAGGACAGCUAAGCAACUUUAACAGCCCCAUUACCUUAAUGAACUGAAGCCAUUCAGCGAAAAGAGUUGGUAUUCACUUCAUCAAAUCUAGUGGAUGAUAAUUUUCCGAAAAGCUAAAGACUAAUUCUUGAGGAUUUUUUGGAGCCCUGUGGCAAUUCGUAUCACCUAAUAACCUAUGUGAGUGAAAGUUGGUGUCCAGUGACUGCGAAGAAGAUAGAAGGAAUGUUGCAGAAAUAUAAAUAGGCCAGCACUGAAAUUUAAUUAGACACUGCAUAUGUUAAUAAUAAAUUCAAUUAAUUUAGCUUUCUACCUAUGCUAGAGAGAAAAAAAAAUACCCAGGCAAAAUAAUAAUUCAUUUUAAAUGCCUCACUUGGUAACCUCCUUUCCUGAAGAGUGAUUUAUGCAGUAAUUUACUGGCUGUUUCUUCAUAAGAUUGUUCCAAACCAGCCCUUUUGAAAUAAUAAUAAUUUCUGAAUGUGUGUUGUGAGAGAUAUAACAAAUGCCUUCUUAUUAAUUUUCAUUUAAUGAGUUGCCUAUUCACAUGGUAAUUUUUUAAAAAUUCUCUUCUUAAGAUAAACAGGUUAUAAAUACUGUGGGUAACACUUCCAUCUCACAAAAAUCGAACAGAAAACCCAUCUCAUAUUCUCUACAUGAUUUGAAGGUCAAUCAGUUGCAAAUUUUCUAUCCUAAAUAGGCAUCUGUUUCUUUCCCAGUUAGCAUAGCAGAUCCGCUUUAAAUUCCAAAAGCCAAGUGAUUCACAUUGGUGAAAAAAGAAAAAAAAAUAUUAGCAGCAGGAAAGGUGCUAGCAGGGAUAAAAGAGGGAUAGAUGGGGUACAAAGUCAUGAGCAAGGUGGAAAAGAAGUUAGAGUUGCUUAAGGAGCCCAUGACACUAAAUCUUUUUGUUUUAAGAACAAAAAGAAGAUCGUCUCUCUUACAGCUUUCUAUUUCUCCAAGUUGCCCCCCCUUUAAAAAGAUACCAAAAUUUCUAGCAUAAAUAUUAAUGUUUAAGAGAAUUUAAUUGCUUACCUUCUCAAAAAGCUUAAUUCCAUACCAACUCAUUAACUAUAUAUUGUCAUAAUAAAAACAGAAUGAAAUAAUAACAAAAUAGUAAAAACUAGGAAGAAGAAAUUGCUCACAAGAGUCCUAGGUAUUUCAAAUGGUUCACGUCUGUUUUAAGAGGCUUGUAAUAGACAGGGCAAGGCUCUUAAAAAUAAUUCCUUCUUAAAAGUAAUUCCUUGUAACAAUUGGGAGAGUGCGCCUAAAGUAUUAAAUAAUUCAAAUGCAAUUGUUACUUACGUGAGAA